Molecule: ribosomal RNA, 440 nt
Filed under: uncultured bacterium
Lineage: Bacteria
Description: partial 16S ribosomal RNA
Rfam family: Bacterial small subunit ribosomal RNA
Source: RNAcentral
CCUACGGGUGGCAGCAGUAGGGAAUAUUGCUCAAUGGGGGAAACCCUGAAGCAGCAACGCCGCGUGGAGGAUGAAGGUUUUCGGAUUGUAAACUCCUUUUGUUAGAGAAGAUAAUGACGGUAUCUAACGAAUAAGCACCGGCUAACUCCGUGCCAGCAGCCGCGGUAAUACGUAGGGUGUAAGCGUUACUCGGAAUCACUGGGCGUAAAGAGCGCGUAGGCGGGAUAGCAAGUCAGAUGUGAAAUCCUAUGGCUUAACCAUAGAACUGCAUUUGAAACUGUUAUUCUAGAGUAUGGGAGAGGUAGGUGGAAUUCUUGGUGUAGGGGUAAAAUGCGUAGAGAUGAAGAGGAAUACUCAUUGCGAAGGCGACCUGCUAGAACAUAACUGACGCUGAUGCGCGAAAGCGUGGGGAGCAAACAGGAUUAGAUACCCGAGUAGUC